Molecule: long non-coding RNA, 1795 nt
Filed under: Medicago truncatula (barrel medic)
Lineage: Eukaryota; Viridiplantae; Streptophyta; Magnoliopsida; Fabales; Fabaceae
Description: long non-coding RNA (MTRU_LNC001477)
Source: RNAcentral
UAGAAUUCUGAAGGGUUUUAAAAUUCUAUAAUGCUUAAACUAUUUAAUUAUUUCUAUAAUACCAUGCAAUUUAUUAUACACUAUAAAGAGAUCAACUCAUUUACAAUUAUUUGGAUGAAAUAGGAAAAAAUAUGGUUAAAACUUCGAAGUUUGUUUAUGUUCUAAUUCUAUUUCUUUCCAUAUUUUUUAGCAUCAUAGUUUCUAAUUCUUCUCCCGGUAGGUUAUCUUUUGGUGAUUGUAAAAUAGAUAAAGAUUGUCCAAAACUUCGAGGAGGUAGUUUUAGGUGUCGUAAAGGAAAAUGUGUACUCGAAUGAGAUAAAUGAGUUCUUUCUAUAGCAAGAGACUUGUACAAUACAUUAUGCUAGAAUAUUCCACUUGUUGUCAUUUACAUUUGUUUGCAUGCUCUCAAUAAUUAUUUUUUCUUCUUAUGUUUUUCCAUAAUUUCCUAGACCAUGAAGUUAUGAUUUUGUACUCUAAGAUGAUGGAAAUGAAAUAAUCCCAACUUCAUUUCACAACAACGGUUUCAUGUAAUGUUGUCUUUAUUUAAUCUGAUUAUUUGUGCUUUAGCCAUGAGUAGCUAAAUUUUUCGUGAUUAGGUCUAAUAUGAUUUUGUUAUAACUGUUUGAACAAUCUAAACUGUGAAACUAUAUUAAAUACAAUUGCAAUUUUAGUAUUUAUACAAUAUAACAUAUGUUUAAUGUUUUUUUGUAUCUUGAUCUAAUUUAAAUGAACUUAAAGAUCAAUUGACUAUUAGCACUAACUAUUGAUUUAGAUCUAGUAACACUCUUCAAUUAAAUAAGUUGCUUUAGAGAUAUCAACCGAAUAGGUUUUGAUUAAAGAUUAAUAUUCAAUAAAACCUUCGAUGUUAUGGACUCACCUAAGAGAUUAGUGAGUCGUAAACUAAGAAGAGGGCUCUAGUCAAAAGAUUGAUUAGGGCUUUUUUUUUAAAAAUAUUUAAAAAAAUAGAAGAACAAUUAUUGGGUUUAGGUGCAGUUUACCAAACAUUGACGGAAAUAGGAUUCAAAAGACAUGAUUAAUUUUUUCUUCUAAAAUUCAUGACAAAUCUAUUUACAUUUUGCUAUUUGUGUUAUGAUUGUGAAACAAAAUAUUUGCAUUGUGCAACCCGCAAUUUUAAAACAUCUGUGUUGAUAAUGUCUCUACCUAGUAGAAACCAAUGCAUUCUACGUGUAGAUUUCACAACAACGGUUUUGGAGAUUUUAAAGACACAUUUGGAGCUAAGCAUUGCGGAAUUUGUGGUCGCAUGCCAUCCAAGUCAUAGUUAGACCAUAUUUCAUGUAAUGUUGUCUUUAUUUAAUCUGAUUAUUUGUGCUUUAGCCAUGAGUAGCUAAAUUUUUCGUGAUUAGGUCUAAUAUGAUUUUGUUAUAACUGUUUGAACAAUCUAAACUGUGAAACUAUAUUAAAUACAAUUGCAAUUUUAGUAUUUAUACAAUAUAACAUAUGUUUAAUGUUUUUUUGUAUCUUGAUCUAAUUUAAAUGAACUUAAAGAUCAAUUGACUAUUAGCACUAACUAUUGAUUUAGAUCUAGUAACACUCUUCAAUUAAAUAAGUUGCUUUAGAGAUAUCAACCGAAUAGGUUUUGAUUAAAGAUUAAUAUUCAAUAAAACCUUCGAUGUUAUGGACUCACCUAAGAGAUUAGUGAGUCGUAAACUAAGAAGAGGGCUCUAGUCAAGAGAUUGAUUAGGGCUUUUUUUUUAAAAAUAUUUAAAAAAAUAGAAGAACAAUUAUUGGGUUUAGGUGCAGUUUACCAAACAUUGACGGAAAUAGGAUUCAAAAG